CCUACGGGUGGCAGCAGUGAGGAAUAUUGGUCAAUGGGCGCAAGCCUGAACCAGCCAAGUCGCGUGAGGGAUGACGGUCCUAUGGAUUGUAAACCUCUUUUGUCGGGGAGCAAGGCCCACCACGUGUGGCGGGAAGGAGAGUACCCGCAGAAAAAGCAUCGGCUAACUCCGUGCCAGCAGCCGCGGUAAGACGGAGGAUGCGAGCGUUAUCCGGAUUUAUUGGGUUUAAGGGGUGCGUAGGCGGAAGGUUAAGUCAGCGGUCAAAUGUCGGUGCUCAACACCGGCCUGCCGUUGAAACUGGUCGUCUUGAGUGAGCGAGAAGUAUGCGGAAUGCGUGGUGUAGCGGUGAAAUGCAUAGAUAUCACGCAGAACUCCGAUUGCGAAGGCAGCAUACCGGCGCUCAACUGACGCUGAGGCACGAAAGCGUGGGGAUCGAACAGGAUUAGAUACCCUUGUAGUC
Molecule: ribosomal RNA, 460 nt
Filed under: uncultured bacterium
Lineage: Bacteria
Description: partial 16S ribosomal RNA
Rfam family: Bacterial small subunit ribosomal RNA
Source: RNAcentral